Molecule: non-coding RNA, 74 nt
Organism: Plectropomus leopardus (leopard coralgrouper)
Lineage: Eukaryota; Metazoa; Chordata; Actinopteri; Perciformes; Serranidae
Source: the annotation of a RefSeq genome assembly
UGCGAAAUAGCUCAGAUGGGAGAGUGUUAGACUGAAGAUCUAAAGGUCCCUGGUUCAAUUCUGGGUUUUGGCAG